GUCUUCUUGGCUUAGUUGGUUAAAGCGUCGGUCUCAUAAGAUUCGUUCUUGUGAUCUGUGUGGGAAACGCAACAGAGACAUCCGAAGGUCGUGAGUUCGACUCUCACAGAGGACA
This 115-nucleotide transfer RNA is filed under the name Drepanopeziza brunnea f. sp. 'multigermtubi' MB_m1. RNAcentral's name for it is "Marssonina brunnea f. sp. 'multigermtubi' MB_m1 tRNA". It matches the Rfam family "tRNA". From Rfam's summary of the family: Transfer RNA (tRNA) molecules are approximately 80 nucleotides in length. Their secondary structure includes four short double-helical elements and three loops (D, anti-codon, and T loops). The record is from Rfam by way of RNAcentral. Lineage: Eukaryota; Fungi; Ascomycota; Leotiomycetes; Helotiales; Drepanopezizaceae.